Molecule: ribosomal RNA, 271 nt
Filed under: uncultured bacterium
Lineage: Bacteria
Description: partial small subunit ribosomal RNA
Rfam family: Bacterial small subunit ribosomal RNA
Source: RNAcentral
AGAAUCAACGCUGGCGGCGUGCCUAACACAUGCAAGUCGAACGCGGUUACCCCGCAAGGGGUGACUGAGUGGCAAACGGGUGAGUAACGCGUGGGUGACCUACCUUCGAGUGGGGGAUAACGUUUCGAAAGGAACGCUAAUACCGCAUGACAUCCUGCCUUUGGACAGGCGGAGAUCAAAGCCGGGGAUCGUAAGACCUGGCGCUUGAAGAGGGGCCCGCGUCCGAUUAGCUAGUUGGUGGGGUAACGGCUCACCAAGGCGACGAUCGGUA